GCCUUUUCCGAGCGCAUAAAACUACUCAACCAAAUCUAAAAUGAAGAUAAUCAAUUUGUACGAUCAAACAAACAUUGGUAACGGAGACAUGAAUGUACGUUUUAAGUCCAAUCGUACAAAAUUUAUCCAGGUGAAUGAAUCUGAAUCAAUUUUGAGUCAUCGUUUAUUAAGUAAUGUCAACAAUUUAGCGCCCUUGUGAUAACUAUCAACCUCUCAGUGCAAAAUUCGAUAAACAGAACAUAUUAUCAACUACGUGUUGUAGUACCCAGUUAAUUAUCUUGCUUUCUUCCAAACAAACUUAUUCAUGUGAAGGUAUCUCGCUCGAGUUCUUUGUGAAUGAACAAAGCAAAAGGCUUCAACUGCACAUUUCGUAGCGUAGCGCAUGGAUGCUUAAACAAGCAACAAGUCUAGGCGAGGCUGAAUACGGCUUUCUAGAUAAGCUCAGUACCCACUUGAUGAUAACCAUCAGUGCAAAAUAAGUUUUCACCGGAAACGUUUCACACUCAAGAGCCGUACCAGUUUCUACGAGGUUAGCUUGGCUGGACUAGAACUAAACAAACUUGAUUCGAGGAUGAAUGCCGAUUUUCGAAACUUUGCUUUUCAACUGUUGCCGGUGUUGACGAGCUCAGCUACCCAAAGUGAAAGGGAACAAUUCCGGUACCUAGCCGAAUAUCUACAUCAACGCUUGUCUUUGCAACACUCCGACAGCACAACGAUGGAAGAUUUUGUGGCUAUUUUGGUAUCCAAACUUCGUGGGGAUUGCGUUUCGCCCUUUAUAGAGUAUCGAUGCAAAACUUUUGCACAUUUUUUAGAUCUUUUAGAUACUGUAUUUUACUGAAUCGAAUAUCAUCUUCCUAUAUCAAUUUACGACUAUUGGGCUGAGAGAGAUUUUUUUAACGAUUGUAAUUUUCGUGAUUAUUAAGCUGUGUGUUUUGCAGAAGACCAGUGUUAAACUCGAUUAAAAAUUAUUAUUGUCAUUCAACUUAAAAUUCAUCUCAUGUCAUUAACCUGGAUUUAGCAAAAUUGUCCACUAUGUAGGUAGGGUAGCAGACCACACCAGGAAUUUGUCAUCGAAAAAUAUCAUGUCCUUUAAAAAAAUUUAGGUAAAACAUAUUUUUCUUUAUUGUUUACAAACAGCAUCGGCUAAAAUCGAACUAGUAGUGUGUUCUACAAAUAAGUUAGUUUUACUCACAAAGUUUUGUUUUGAGUUUUGCGCUUGUGAAAAAAAAUCAUACAUUCGUAGAGUUAAGAUAAAGGUCAGUCACUUGUUUCGAAUUACAGAACAAAUCAAAAACAAAUAUUAAUUAUAAAAUAAGUUCAAGCAUGAGUUCA
Molecule: long non-coding RNA, 1332 nt
Organism: Uranotaenia lowii
Lineage: Eukaryota; Metazoa; Arthropoda; Insecta; Diptera; Culicidae
Exons: 2
Source: RefSeq, a predicted model, not a curated record